This is a non-coding RNA of Podarcis lilfordi (Lilford's wall lizard), 69 nucleotides long. The record is from the annotation of a GenBank genome assembly. Lineage: Eukaryota; Metazoa; Chordata; Lepidosauria; Squamata; Lacertidae.
GCUGUAGCUCAGUGGCAAAGAAUCUGUCUCGCAAGCAAAUGGUCCCAGGUUCAAACCCCAGCUGCUGCC